This 254-nucleotide ribosomal RNA is filed under the name uncultured bacterium. Its description in RNAcentral is "partial 16S ribosomal RNA". It matches the Rfam family "Bacterial small subunit ribosomal RNA", at positions 524 to 776 of the family's 1533-position model. The record is from RNAcentral.
UACGGGGGGGGCAAGCGUUGUUCGGAAUUACUGGGCGUAAAGGGUUCGUAGGUGGCCCGCUAAGUCAGACGUGAAAUCCCUCAGCUCAACUGGGGAACUGCGUCUGAGACUGGCGAGCUCGAGUGCAGGAGAGGAACGCGGAAUUCCAGGUGUAGCGGUGAAAUGCGUAGAUAUCUGGAGGAACACCGGUGGCGAAGGCGGCGUUCUGGACUGCAACUGACACUGAGGGAACGAAAGCCAGGGGAGCAAACGGG